CCUACGGGGCGCAGCAGUGGGGAAUAUUGCACAAUGGGGGAAAGCCUGAUGCAGCAACGCCGCGUGAAGGAAGAAGGGUUUCGGCUCGUAAACUUCUAUUAAAAGGGACGAAAGAAAUGACGGUACCUGAAUAAGAAGCCCCGGCUAACUACGUGCCAGCAGCCGCGGUAAUACGUAGGGGGCUAGCGUUAUCCGGAAUUACUGGGCGUAAAGGGUGCGUAGGUGGUUUCUUAAGUCAGAGGGGAAAGGCUACGGCUCAACCGUAGUAAGCCUUUGAAACUGGGGAAAUUGGGUGCAGGAGGGGG
This 305-nucleotide ribosomal RNA is filed under the name uncultured bacterium. Its description in RNAcentral is "bacterial SSU rRNA". It matches the Rfam family "Bacterial small subunit ribosomal RNA", at positions 338 to 658 of the family's 1533-position model. The record is from RNAcentral.